UAAUACGGAGGGUGCAAGCGUUGUCCGGAUUUAUUGGGUUUAAAGGGUGCGUAGGCGGCUAAUUAAGUCAGCGGUGAAAUUCCACAGCUUAACUGUGAGAACUGCCAUUGAUACUGGUUGGCUUGAGUACAGAUGAGGUAGGCGGAAUUGACAGUGUAGCGGUGAAAUGCUUAGAUAUUGUCAAGAACACCUAUUGCGAAGGCAGCUUACUAAACUGUAACUGACGCUGAGGCACGAAAGCGUGGGGAUCAAACAGGAUUAGAUACCCUGGUAGUCCACGCUGUAAACGAUGAUUACUCGAUGUGUGCGAUAGACAGUACGCGUCCAAGCGAAAGCGUUAAGUAAUCCACCUGGGGAGUACGCCCGCAAGAGUG
Molecule: ribosomal RNA, 374 nt
Filed under: uncultured bacterium
Lineage: Bacteria
Description: bacterial SSU rRNA
Rfam family: Bacterial small subunit ribosomal RNA
Source: RNAcentral